UACAGAGGCCUCAACCGUUGUUCGGAAUCACUGGGCGUAAAGGGUGCGUAGGCGGCUUGGUAAGUCAGAUGUGAAAUCCCGGGGCUCAACCUCGGAAUUGCAUCCGAUACUGCCUUGCUAGAGGACUGGAGAGGAGUCUGGAAUUCACGGUGUAGCAGUGAAAUGCAUAGAUAUCGUGAGGAACACUAGUGGCGAAGGCGAGACUCUGGACAGUAUCUGACGCUGAGGCACGAAGGCCAGGGGAGCGAACGGG
RNAcentral lists this ribosomal RNA (253 nucleotides) under uncultured bacterium. Its description in RNAcentral is "partial 16S ribosomal RNA". It matches the Rfam family "Bacterial small subunit ribosomal RNA", at positions 524 to 776 of the family's 1533-position model. The record is from RNAcentral.